This 491-nucleotide ribosomal RNA is filed under the name uncultured organism. RNAcentral's name for it is "bacterial SSU rRNA". It matches the Rfam family "Bacterial small subunit ribosomal RNA", at positions 28 to 507 of the family's 1533-position model. The record is from RNAcentral.
GAUGAACGCUAGCGACAGGCUUAACACAUGCAAGUCGAGGGGCAGCAUGAUUUGUAGCAAUACAGAUUGAUGGCGACCGGCGCACGGGUGAGUAACGCGUAUGCAACUUACCUAUCAGAGGGGGAUAGCCCGGCGAAAGUCGGAUUAAUACCCCAUAAAACAGGGGUCCCGCAUGGGAAUAUUUGUUAAAGAUUCAUCGCUGAUAGAUAGGCAUGCGUUCCAUUAGGCAGUUGGCGGGGUAACGGCCCACCAAACCGACGAUGGAUAGGGGUUCUGAGAGGAAGGUCCCCCACAUUGGUACUGAGACACGGACCAAACUCCUACGGGAGGCAGCAGUGAGGAAUAUUGGUCAAUGGCCGAGAGGCUGAACCAGCCAAGUCGCGUGAAGGAAGAAGGAUCUAUGGUUUGUAAACUUCUUUUAUAGGGGAAUAAAGUGGAGGACGUGUCCUUUUUUGUAUGUACCCUAUGAAUAAGCAUCGGCUAACUCCGUG